RNAcentral lists this long non-coding RNA (1046 nucleotides) under Trifolium pratense (red clover). RNAcentral describes it as "long non-coding RNA (TPRA_LNC012044)". Lineage: Eukaryota; Viridiplantae; Streptophyta; Magnoliopsida; Fabales; Fabaceae. The record is from RNAcentral.
CUUCUUUGAUUUCAAAAGGCUCUGAUUUAUUCCUUAAAGCAUCUGUGGGACUUGGUGCAUCCAAAGGUACAUGUGCUUGAUUGUUACUCACAUCUUUAGCAGACCAAAGCUCAUCAGAAUUAUCAAGACUUACAUUGCCAAAUAUAGGGUCAUCAUGGCUGCAAAAGCAUGACUUGUGAGAAUAUUCAAUCAGAUAGAUGCCGUUGUAAAAUACAAAGACUAACAACUAUAAGGAUAGAUGCAUGUCUAGAAUUGUUUAUGUUAGUUACUCAGGAACUUUGGUAUUUCUCAUCACUUGGACAUGAAUUAAAGCCGAGGGGAAAUAAAACUACCCACUGACAAUUAUCAAAGUUCAAAAAUUAGAAACACAAAGCCCUGUUUCCUAGUUUAAAGAGUAGAGGUGUUCCAAAAUUUCACAUCAGAAUCAUCCCUAUUUCACUUUGCAUGAUUUUACUCUAUUGUUGCAGCUACAUGGCAUAGCUGCACAUAAGUUUCACAGAAUAAAUUUGAAGUAACUUACUAAGAUGGAGCAGUUUGUAAACAAUUGUGAAAAGUGGGGAAUACAACACUUAGGUUAACAGAAGAGUUUAGUCCAUCUUACACACUUCGGAGAUUUAGGAAAUAAAUCAAUACAAAUAAAUCCAGGACAUUAGUGAUCAUAAUGCUAAAAUGCUAUCAGACAUAUGCUUGUAUCAGAUAUAGAAUAAUAAAGAUAAUCUACUUUACCUGAAAAUUCGAUCAAGGUCAUCAAAACUUCCUAUGUUAGCCCAGUCAUAAUCAACAAAAUCACCUUGUUCUUUACCUUCUUCGGCAUUUUGGAAAAAUUGAGCAUCCUUUUCAUGCUGUGUGGUCUCUUCUGUCAAACAUUUAUACAAUUAGGAAUGGAAAAUACAGCUAAUAUCAUGCAUGUUCAUUAUUUUCAUAUUAUGAAGGUGGGAUGCAAGCACAUAAAAACAUGAGCAGACAGACGCCUGCACAAACAAAAAACACAUAGACAAAUAUGAGACUUGCUAUCUACUUAUAAUUCCAGCAAUUAUCAAUUUUAC